GGUAAUAAGGAACAUAAGGUUAUGAUACACUUUUGCUAUGCACUCCUGCUUGCAGGACGCCCACCACUGCAAUCACAGAAAUUCUGUUACAGUGA
Long non-coding RNA from Cygnus olor (mute swan), 95 nucleotides. RefSeq lists it as uncharacterized. The transcript is spliced from 3 exons. Lineage: Eukaryota; Metazoa; Chordata; Aves; Anseriformes; Anatidae. The record is from RefSeq and is a predicted model, not a curated record.